Molecule: transfer RNA, 74 nt
Filed under: Ignavibacteria bacterium
Lineage: Bacteria; Pseudomonadati; Ignavibacteriota; Ignavibacteria
Also listed under: 1 other name
Description: tRNA-Lys
Rfam family: tRNA
About the family: Transfer RNA (tRNA) molecules are approximately 80 nucleotides in length. Their secondary structure includes four short double-helical elements and three loops (D, anti-codon, and T loops).
Source: RNAcentral
GCAUGCGUAGCUCAGCUGGCCAGAGCAUCUGACUCUUAAUCAGAGGGUCGCGGGUUCGAGCCCCGCCGCGUGUA